This 466-nucleotide ribosomal RNA is filed under the name uncultured bacterium. RNAcentral's name for it is "partial 16S ribosomal RNA". It matches the Rfam family "Bacterial small subunit ribosomal RNA", at positions 28 to 507 of the family's 1533-position model. The record is from RNAcentral.
GACGAACGCUGGCGGCGCGCCUAACACAUGCAAGUCGAACGAGCGAGCGAGAGAUUGCUUUCUUGAGCGAGUGGCGAACGGGUGAGUAACGCGUGGGGAACCUGCCUCAAAGAGGGGGACAACAGUUGGAAACGACUGCUAAUACCGCAUAAGCCCACGGUGCCGCAUGGCACCGAGGGAAAAGGAGCCAUCCGACUUGAGAUGGCCCCGCGUCCGAUUUGCUAGUUGGGGUGGUAACGGCCCACCAAGGCGACGAUCGGUAGCCGGGCAGGGAGGUAGAGCGGCGACAUUGGGGGUGAGACACGGCCGAGAAUCCUAGGCAAGGGAGGAGAGGGGAAUAUAGCCCAAUGGGGGAGGCGCUGAUGGAGCGGCGCGGGGUAGAGGAUGUUGGUGUUCGGAUAAAACACUCGUGUUAUAGGGGGCGGUAAUGACGGUACCCAAAAAAGAAGCAACGGCUAACUACGUG